Molecule: long non-coding RNA, 17934 nt
Filed under: Xyrichtys novacula (pearly razorfish)
Lineage: Eukaryota; Metazoa; Chordata; Actinopteri; Labriformes; Labridae
Source: RNAcentral
UUUGAACUUUGUUUGUGGUGUUUUUGAACUUGAGUUUUUGAUGUUUUUGAACUUGAGGGUGUGUUGUGUUUUUGAACUUGAGUUUGUGGUGUUUUUGAACUUGAGUUUGUUUCGUGUUUGAACUUGAGUUUGUGGCGUUUGUUGAACUCUAGGUUGUGGCAAUUGUUGAACUUGAGAUUUGGGUUUUGGUUCAACUUAAAAGUUUGGCAUUUGUUGAACAUGAGUUUGUGUGUUUGUUGAACUUAAGUUUGUGUCUUGUUUGAACUUAAGUUUGUGUCUUGUUUGAACUUGAGUUUGUGGUGUUUUCAAACUUGAGUUUUUGGUGUCUUUGAACUUGAGUUUUUGGUGUUUUUGAACUUGAGUUUGAAUCGUGUUUGAACUUGAGUUUGUGGUGUUUUUGAACUUGAGUUUGUGGUGUUUUUGAACUUGAGGUGUUGGAAAUUGUGAAACUUGAGAAUUGGGUAUUGGUUGAACUUGAGUGUGUUUUUUGAACUUGAGGUUGUGGUGUUUUUGAACUUGAGUUUGUGGUGUUUUGUACUUGAGUUUGUGUUAUUUUUCAACUUGAGGUUGUGGAACUUGUUAAACUUGAGAAUCAGGUGUUGAUUGAACUUGAGUAUUUGUUUUUUUUUAACUUGAGUUUGUGUCGUGUUUGAGCUCGAGUUUGUGGUGUUUUUGAAUUUGAGUUUGCGUGUUUGUUAAACUUGAGUUUGUGUUUUUUUAACUUGAGUUUGUUGUUUCUGAACUUGAGUUUGUGGCAAUUGUCUAACUUGAGUUUGACAUUUGUUGAACUUGGGUUUGUGGUUUUUGUUGAACUUGAGUUUGUGGUGUUUUUGAACUUGAGGUUGUGGAAUUUGUUAAACUUGAGAAUUGGGUAUUGGUUGAAAUUGAGUUUGUGUGUUUGUUGAACUUGAGUUUGUGUCGUGUUUGAACUUGAGUUUAUGUUUUUUUUGAACUUGAGUUUGUGGUGUUUUUGAACUUGAGGUUUUUAGAAAUUGUUGAACUUGAAAAUUUGGUAUUGGAUGAACUUGAGUUUGUGUGUUUGUUGAACUUGAGUUUGUGUCGUGUUUGAACUUUGGUUUGUGGUGUUUUUUGAGCCUGAGGUUGUGGUGUUUUUGAACUUGAGUUUGUGUUGCUUUUGAACUUUAGGUUGUGGCAAUUUCUAAAAUUGAGAUUUGGGUGUUGGUUGAACUUAAAAGUUUGUCAUUUGUUGAACUUGAGUUUGUGGUUUUUGUUGAACUUGAGUUUGUGUCGUGUUUGAACUGUAGGUUGUGGUUUUUUUGAGCUCGAGUAUUUGUGAUUGUUGAACUUAAGUUUUUGGUGUGUUUGAACUUGAGUUUGUGUUUUUUUUUAAGUUGAGGUUGUGGUUUUUUGAACUUCAGUUUGUGGAAAUUGUUAAACUUGAGGAUUGGGUGGUGGUUGAACUUGAGUUUGUGGUGUUUUUAGAACUUGAGGUUGUGGUGUUUUUGACUUGAGUUCGUGGCGUGUUUGAACUUCAGUUUGUGGAAAUUGUUAAACUUGAGGAUUGGGUGUUGGUUGAACUUGAGUUUGUGGUGUUGUUUGAACUUGAGUUUGUGGUGUUUUUUGAGCUUGAGGUUGUGGUGUUUUUGAGCUUGAGUUUGUGGCAUGUUUUAACUUGAGGUUGUGGAAAAACGUAAACUUGAGAUUUGGGUGUUGAUUGAACUUGAGUUUGUUUCGUGUUUGAUCUUGAGGUUGUGGUGUUUUUGAACUUGAGGUUUCUUGUUUGUUUAACUUGAGUUUGUGUGUUUUUUGAACUUGAGUUUGUUGUUUCUGAACUUGAGGUUUUGGCAAUUGUUGAACUUGAGUCUGUGGUUUUUAGUGAACUUUAGUUGGUUGCAAUUGUUGAACAUGAGUUUAUGGCGUUUGUUGAACUUGAGUUUGUGACGUGGAUGAACUUGAGUUUGUGUUAUUUUUGAACUUGAGGUUGUGGCAAUUUCUAAAAUUGAGAAUUGGGUGUUGGUUGAACUUAAAAGUUUGACAUUUGUUGAACUUGAGUGUGGUUUUUGUUGAACUUGAGUUUGUUUCGUGUUUGAACUUGAGGUUGUGGUGUUUUUGAACUUGAGGUUUCUUGUUUGUUUAACUUGAGUUUUUGGCGUGUUUGAACUUGAGUUUGUGGUUUUUUUAACUUGAGGUUGUGGUUUUUUGAACUUCAGUUUGUGGAAAUUUUUAAACUUGAGGAUUGGGUGGUGGUUGAACUUGAGUUUGUGGUGUUUUUUUAACUUGAGGUUGUGGUGUUUUUGACUUGAGUUCGUCGCGUGUUUGAACUUGAGGUUGUUGCAAUUGUUAAACUUGAGAUUUGGGUGUAUGUUGAACUCCAGUUUGUGUUGUGUUUGAACUUGAGGUUGUGGUAUUUUUUAAUUGAGUUUGUGGCGGUUUUUGAACUUGAGUUUGUGGCGUGUUUGAACUUGAGAUUGUGGCGUGUUUGAACUUGAGUUUGUGGUGGUUUUUGAACUUGAGGUUGUGAAAAUUGUUAAAACUAUAGAAUUAGGUGUUGGUUGAACUUGAGUUUGUGGGGUUUUUUUAGCUUGAGUUUGUGGUUUUUGUUGAACUUGAGUUUGUGUCGUUUUUGAGCUUGAGGUUGUGGUGUUUUUAAACUUGAGUUUGCGUGUUUGUUUAACUUGAGUUUGUGUGUUUUUUUAACUUGAGUUUGUUGUUUCUGAAGUUGAGGUUUUGGCAAUUGUUGAACUUGAGUCUGUUGUUUUUAGUGAACUUUAGUUGGUGGCAAUUGUUGAACUUGAGUUUGUGGCAUUUGUUAAACUUGAGUUUGUGACGUGUUUAAACAUGAUUUUGUGGUGUUUUUGAACUCGAGUUUGUGGUGUUUUUGAACUUGAGGUUGUGGAAAUUGUUAAACUUGAGAAUUGGGUAUUGGUUGAACUUGAGUUUGUGUGUUUGUUGAACUUGAGUUUGUGUCAUGUUUGAACUUCAGUUUGUGGUGUUUUUGAACUCGAGUUUUUGUGUUUAUUGAACUUCAGUUUGUGUCGUGUUUGAACUUGAGUUUGUGGUGUUUUUUGAACUUGAAGUUGUGUGUUUUUUUGAACUUGAGUUUGUGGCGGUUUUUGAACUUGAGGUUGUGGCAAUUGUUGAACUUGAGUUUGUGACGUGUUUGAACUUGAUUUUGUGGUGUUUUUGAACUUGAGUUUGUGGUGUUUUUGAACUUGAGUUCGUGGUGUUUGUGGAAUUUGAGUUUGUGUCGUGUUUGAACUUGAGGUUGUGGUGUUUUUCAACUCGAGUUUUUGUGUUUGUUGAACUUCAGUUUGUGUCGUGUUUGAACUUGAGUUUGUGGUGUUUUUUGAACUUGAGUUUGUGGUGUUUUUUGAACUUGAGGUUGUGGUGUUUUUGACUUGAGUUCGUGGCGUGUUUGAACUUGAGGUUGUUGCAAUUGUUAAACUUGAGAUUCGGGUGUUGGUUGAACUUAAAACUUUGCCAUUUGUUGAACUUGAGUUUGUGGUGUAUGUUGAACUCCAGCUUGUGUUGUGUUUGAACCUGAGUUUGUGGCGGUUUUUGAACUUGAGUUUGUGGCGUGUUUGAACUUGAGAUUGUGGCGUGUUUGAACUUGAGUUUGUGGUGGUUUUUGAACUUGAGGUUGUGAAAAUUGUUAAAACUUGAGAAUCAGGUGUUGGUUGAACUUGAGUUUGUGGUUUUUGUUGAACUUGAGUUUGUGGUUUUUGUUGAACUUGAGUUUGUGUCGUGUUUGAACUUGAGGUUGUGGUGUUUUUGAACUUGAGGUUUCUUGUUUGUUUAACUUGAGUUUGUGUGUUUUUUGAACUUGAGUUUGUUGUUUCUGAACUUGAGGUUUUGGCAAUUGUUGAACUUAAGUCUGGUUUUUAGUGAAAUUUAGUUGGUUGCAAUUGUUGAACAUGAGUUUAUGGCGUUUGUUGAACUUCAGUUUGUGACGUGGAUGAACUUGAGUUUGUGUUAUUUUUGAACUUGAGGUUGUGGCAAUUUCUAAAAUUGAGAAUUGGGUGUUGGUUGAACUUAAAAGUUUGACAUUUGUUGAACUUGAGUUUGUGUGUUUGUUGAACUUGAGUUUGUGUCGUGUUUGAACUUGAGGUUGUGGUUUUUUUGAACUCGAGUUUUUGUGUUUGUUGAACUUCAGUUUGUGGAAAUUUUUAAACUUGAGGAUUGGGUGGUGGUUGAACUUGAGUUUGUGGUGUUUUUUGAACUUGAGGUUGUGGUGUUUUUGACUUGAGUUCGUGGCGUGUUUGAACUUGAGGUUGUUGCAAUUGUUAAACUUGAGAUUUGGGUGUUGGUUGAACUUAAAACUUUGCCAUUUUUUGAACUUGAGUUUGUGGUGUAUGUUGAACUCCAGCUUGUGUUGUGUUUGAACUUGAGGUCGUGGUAUUUUUGAAUUGAGUUUGUGGAGGUUUUUGAACUUGAGUUUGUGGCGUGUUUGAACUUGAGAUUGUGGCGUGUUUGAACUUGAGUUUGUGGUGGUUUUUGAACUUGAGGUUGUGAAAAUUGUUAAAACUUGAGAAUCAGGUGUUGGUUGAACUUGAGUUUGUGGUUUUUGUUGAACUUGAUUUUGUGCUUUGAUUGAACUUUAGUUUAUGUUUUUUUUGUACUUGAGUUUGUGUUGUUUUUGAACUUGAGGUUGUGGAAAUUGUAAAAACUUGAGAAUCAGGUGUUGGUUGAACUUGAGUUUGUGGUUUUUGUUGAACUUGAGUUUGUGUGUUUUUUUAACUUGAGUUUGUUGUUUCUGAACUUGAGGUUUUGGCAAUUGUUGAACUUGAUAAUUGGGUAUUGGUUGAACUUGAGUUUGUGUGUUUGUUGAACUUGAGUUUGUGUCGUGUUUGAACUUCAGUUUGUGGUGUUUUUUUGAACUUGAGGUUGUGGUGUUUUUGAACUUGAGUUUUUGGUGUUUUUGAACUUGAGGUUGUGGCAAUUGUUGAACUUCAGUUUGUGACGUGUUUGAACUUGAUUUUGUGGUGUUUUUGAACUCGACUUUGUUUUGUUUUUGAACUUGAGUUCGUGGUGUUUGUUGAACUUGAGUUUGUGUCGUGUUUGAACUUGAGGUUGUGGUGUUUUUGAACUCGAGUUUUUGUGUUUGUUGAACUUGAGUUUGUGUCGUGUUUGAACUUGAGUUUGUGGUGUUUUUUGAACUUGAGGUUGUGGUGUUUUUGAACUUGAGUUUGUGGCGGUUUUUGAACUUGAGGUUGUUGCAAUUGUUGAACUUGAAAUAAAAACCCAAAUAUGAACCCAAAUAUAUAUUUUUUCUUUUUACAUUUUUUUGGUGUAACCAACUCCAAAAGGUCUUAAACAUGUUCCUAAAAAGGUUUUGGACAGUGAUUUUAACCCUAACACCAAAAACCUUAAACCUUACCCUAGCCCCAAAACCUAAUACCCGGGUAUUACCUUCAGGAAGCCCGAACACCCCAAAUUUUUUUUUUUCUUUUUUUUUUUUUCUAACUAACUCCCAAAGGUCUGAAACAUGUUCCUUAAAAAAUAUUGGACAGUUAUUUUGACCCUAACGCCAAAAACCUUAAACCUAACCCUGGCCCCAAAACCACCCGGGUAUUACCUUCAGGAAGCCCGAACACCCCAAAUAUUUUUUUUUCAUUUAUCUUUUUUUUUUUGUCUAACUUUAUCCCAAAGGUUGGAAAAGAAUUCCUACAAUGGUUUUGGACAGUGAUUUUUACCCUCACGCCCAAAAACCUUAAACCUUACCCUAGCCCCAUAACCUAAUACCCGGGUAUUACCUUCAGGAAGCCCGAACACCCCAAAUAUAUAUUUUUAUUUUCAUUUUUUUUUCGUCUAACUAACUCCAAAAGGUCUGAAACAUGUUCCUUAAAAAAUAUUGGAGAGUGAUUUUAACCCUUACGCCAAAAACCUUAAACCUAAUCCUAGCCCCAUAACCAAAUACUUAAACCUGAAGGGUAUUACCUUCAGGAAGCCCGAACACCCCAAAUAUUUUUUUUGUCAUUUUACAUUUUUUUUUGGUGUAACCAACUCCAAAAGGUCUUAAACAUGUUCCUUAAAAGGGUUUGGACAGUGAUUUCAACCCUAACGCCAAAAACCUUAAACCUUACCCUAGCCCCAAAACCUAAUACCUUCAGGAAGCCCGAAAACCCCAAAUAUUUUUUUUUUUUUUUUUUUUUUUUUUUGGUCUAACUAACUCCAAAAGGUCUGAAACAUGUUCCUUAAAAAAUAUUGGACAGUGAUUUUAACCCUAACGCCAAAAACCUUAAACCUAAUCCUAGCCCCAUUACCUAAUACCCGGGUAUUACUUUCAGGAAGUCAGAACACCCCAAAUAUUUUUUUUUCAUUUAUCUUUUUUUUUUUUGUCUAACUUAAUCCCAAAGGUUGGAAAAGAGUUCCUACAAAGGUUUUGGACAGUGAUUUUUACCCUCACGCCCAAAAACCUUAAACCUUACCCUAGCCCCAUAACCUAAUACCCGGGUAUUACCUUCAGGAAGCCCGAAAACCCCAAAUAUAUAUAUAUAUAUUUUCUUUUUUUUUGUCUAACUAACUCCAAAAGGUCUGAAACAUGUUCCUUAAAAAAUAUUGGACAGUGAUUUUAACCCUGACGCCAAAAACCUUAAACCUAAUCCUAGCCCCAUAACCUAAUACUUAAACCUGAAGGGUAUUACCUUCAGGAAGCCCGAACACCCCAAAUAUUUUUUUUGUCAUUUUACAUUUUUUUUGGUGUAACCAACUCCAAAAGGUCUGAAUCUUGUUCCUUAAAAGGUUUUGGACAGUGAUUUUAACCCUAACGCCAAAAACCUUAAACCUUACCCUAGCCCCAAAACCUAAUACCUUCAGGAAGCCCGAAAACCCCAAAUAUUUUUUUUCUUUUUUCUUUUUUUUUGGUCUAACUAACUCCAAAAGGUCUGAAACAUGUUCCUUAAAAAAUAUUGGACAGUGAUUUUAACCCUCACGCCAAAAACCUUAAACCUAAUCCUAGCCCCAAAACCUAAUACCCGGGUAUUACCUUCAGGAAGCCCGAACACCCCAAAUAUUAAUUUUUCAUUUUUUUAUUGGUCUAACUAACUCCAAAAGGUUGGAAAAGACUUCCUACAAAGGUUUUGGACAGUGAUUUUAACCCUCACGCCAAAAACCUUAAACCUUACCCUAGCCCCAUAACCUAGGGUAAAGCCCCUUUACCUAAUACCCGGGUAUUACCUUCAGGAAGCCCGAACACCCCAAAUAUUUUUUUUUCAUUUAUCUUUUUUUUUUUGUCUAACUAACUCCAAAAGGUUGGAAAAGACUUCCUAUAAAUGACUAACUCCAAAAGGUUGGAAAAGACUUCCUACAAAGGUAAUACAAAGUAUUACCUUCAGGAAGCCUGAACACCCCAAAUUUAUAUAUUUUUUUUUCUUUUUUUUUUUUUGGUCAAACUAGCUCCAAAAAGUCUGAAACAUGUUCCUUAAAAAUAUUGGACAGUGAUUUUAACCCUAACGCCAAAAACAUUAAACCUAAUCCUAGCCCCAUAACCUAAUACUUAAACCUGAAGGGUAUUACCUUCAGGAAGCCCGAACACCCCAAAUAUUUUUUUUUUCAUUUAUCUUUUUUUUUUUUGUCUAACUAACUCCAAAAGGUCUGAAAAGAGUUCCUACAAAGGUUUUGGACGGUGAUUUUAACCCUUAAACCUUACCCUAGCCCCAUAACCUAAUACCCGGGUAUUACCUUCAGAAGCCCAAAAACCCCAAAUAUAUUUUUUUAAUUUUUCGUUAGUUUUUGCUCUAACUAACUCCAACCUUACCUUCAGGAAGCCCGAACACCCCCAAAAAUUUUUUUUUCAUAUUACAUUUUUUUUGGUGUAACCAACUCCAAAAGGUCUGAAACAUGUUCCUAAAAAGGUUUUGGACAGUGAUUUUAACCCUUACGCCAAAAACCUUAAACCUUACCCUAGCCCCAUAACCUAAUACCCGGGUAUUACCUUCAGGAAGCCCGAACACCCCAAAUAUUUUUUUUUCAUUUAUCUUUCUUUUUUUUGUCUACCUAACUCCAAAAGGUUGGAAAAGACUUCCUACAAACGUUUUGGACAGUGAUUUUAACCCUAACACCAAAAACCUUAAACCUUACCCUAGCCCCAAAACCUAAUACCUGGGUAUUACCUUCAGGAAGCUUGAACACCCCAAAUAUUUUUUUUUCAUUUUACAUUUUUUUUGGUGUUACCAACUCCAAAAGGUCUUAAACAUGUUCCUAAAAAGGUUUUGGACAGUGAUUUUAAACCUAACGCCAAAAACCUUAAACCUUACCCUAGCCCCAUAACCUAAUACCUGGGUAUUUCCUUCAGGAAGCCCGAAGACCCCAAAUAUAUUUUUUCAUUUUUUUUUUUUUUUGGUCUAACUAACUCCAAAAGGUCUGAAAAGAGUUCCUACAAAGGUUUUGGACGGUGAUUUUAACCCUUAAACCUUACCCUAGCCCCAUAACCUAAUACCCGGGUAUUACCUUCAGAAGCCCAAAAACCCCAAAUAUAUUUUUUUUAUUUUCCGUUAAUUUUUGCUCUAACUAACUCCAAAAGGUUGGAAAAGACUUCCUACAAAGGUUUUGGACAGUGAUUUUAACCCUAACGCCAAAAACCUUAAACCUUACUAUAGCCCCAUAACCUAAUACCCGGGUAUUACCUUCAGGAAGCUUGAACACCCCAAAUAUUUUUUUUUUCAUUUUACAUUUUUUUUGGUGUAACCUACUCCAAAAGGUCUGAAACAUGUUCCUAAAAAGGUUUUGGACAUUGAUUUUAACCCUAACGCCAAAAACCUUAAACCUAAUCCAAGCCCCAUAAACUAAUACCUGGGUAUUUCCUUCAGGAAGCCCGAAGACCCCAAAUAUAUUUUUUUCUUUUUUCUUUUUUUUUGGUCUAACUAACUCCAAAAGGUUGGAAAAGAGUUCCUACAAAGGUUUUGGACAGUGAUUUUAACCCUAACACCAAAAACAUUAAACCUUACCCUAGCCCCAAAACCUAAUACCCAGGUAUUACCUUCUGGAAGCCCGAACACCCCAAAUAUUUUUUUUUUCAUUUUACAUUUUUUUUUGGUGUAACCAACUCCAAAAGGUCUUAAACAUGUUCCUAAAAAGGUUUUGGACACUGAUUUUAACUCUAACGCCAAAAACCUUAAACCUUACCCUAGCCCCAUAACCUUAUACCUGGGUAUUACCUUCAGGAAACCCGAACACCCCAAAUAUUUUUUUUCUUUUUCUUUUUUUUUUGUCUAACUAACUCCCAAAGGUCUGAAACAUGUUCCUUAAAAAAUAUUGGACAGUUAUUUUAACCCUAACGCCAAAAACCUUAAACCUAACCCUAGCCCCAAAACCUAAUACCCGGGUAUUACCUUCAGGAAGCCCGAACACCCCAAAUAUAUAUUUUUUAUUUUUCUUUAUUUUUGGUCUAACUUGCUCUCAAAGGUUGGAAAAGAGUUCCUACAAAGGUUUUGGACAUUGAUUUUAACCCUAACGCCAAAAACCUUAAACAUUACCCUAGCCCAGAAACCUAGUAUUACCUUCAGGAAGCCCGAACACCCCAAAAAAAUUUUUUUUCAUUUUACAUUUUUUUUGGUGUAACCAACUCCAAAAGGUCUGAAACAUGUUCCUAAAAAGGUUUUGGACAGUGAUUUUAACCCUUACGCCAAAAACCUUAAACCUUACCCUAGCCCCAUAACCUAAUACCCGGGUAUUACCUUCAGGAAGCCCGAACACCCCAAAUAUUUUUUUUUCAUUUAUCUUUUUUUUUUUUGUCUAACUAACUCCAAAAGGUUGGAAAAGACUUCCUACAAAGGUUUUUGACAGUGAUUUUAAGCCUCACGCCAAAAACCUUAAACCUUAACCUAGCCCCAUAACCUAAUACCCGGCUAUUACCUUCAGGAAGCCCGAACGACCCAAAUAUAUAUUUUUUCUUUUUCUUUUUUUUUUUGGUCAAACUAGCUCCAAAAGGUCUGAAACAUGUUCCUUAAAAAAUAUUGGACAGUGAUUUUAACCCUUACGCCAAAAACCUUAAACCUAAUCCAAGCCCCAUAACCUAAUACUUAAACCUGAAGGGUAUUACCUUCAGGAAGCCCGAACAACCUAAAUAUUUUUUUUUUCAUUUUACAUUUUUUUUUGGUGUAACCAACUCCAAAAGGUCUGAAUCUUGUUUCUUAAAAGGUUUUGGACAGUGAUUUUAACUCUAACACCAAAAACCUUAAACCUUACCCUAGCCCCAAAACCUAAUACCUUCAGGAAGCCCGAAAACCCCAAAUAUUUUUUUUUCUUUUUCCUUUUUUUUUGGUCUAACUAACUCCAAAAGGUCUGAAACAUGUUCCUUAAAAAAUAUUGGACAGUGAUUUUAACCCUAACGCCAAAAACCUUAAACCUAAUCCUAGCCCCAAAACCUAAUACCCGGGUAUUACCUUCAGGAAGCCCGAACACCCCAAAUUUUUUUUUUUCAUUUUUCUUUUUUUUAGUGGUCUAACUAACUCCAAAAGGUUGGAAAAGACUUCCUACAAAGGUUUUGGACAGUGAUUUUAACUCCACGCCAAAAACCUUAAACCUUAACCUAGCCCCAUGAGGGGAGUCACGCGACGUGAUGCGAGAGGAAGCCACGGAGUAGGGAGCUCCGCACUUCAUCGCUAUCUUUAUCCUGUUUAAUAUCAACACCAGAUAUAUUAUCACUCAGACUAAGUACUUUUAGUUGAAGGGGGUGCUAAAAAUGUUGAAACUUUCUAAGACUUCAGGCUGUGGAGACAUAAAAAGACUACUACGGUCUCAGGGGGCCGACGCCAUGAUGCAAGAUGGAGCUAAAGCGCCCGAGCAGCAGCAAGCUAACGACUUAGCUCAAGAUAUUAGCAACAUCUACUCAAUGCUUACAAAGAUUUCUGAAGAUCUCGGGGGGCUCGCAGAAAUACGUCGCACCACAGCGUCGGUGGAAGCUAAACUAUCAUCCCUUAUUACAAGAAUGGACGACGUAGAGAAACGAGUGGAGUACUUGGAAGUGACUGAGCAGGGCUGGCAAGCUAACCCGCCAGCUAACAAGGCUGAUAUCGCACAGAUAUGGGACAAAUUAGAGGACAUGGAGAAUCGCUCAAGGCGUAACAACGUUCGUUUCGUCGGCUUUCCGGAGGGUAAGGAGGCAGGAGACGUGGUGAGAUUUCUGGAGGAGCUGUUGCCGAGUCUGCUAAACAUCGAGGGGAGACGGGAGAUUGAACGGGCCCACCGGGUCCCGAGCCAGAGACCAGCGCCAGGCGACCGGCCCAGACCAAUACUGGCCCGGUUUUUGAGAUCGUCGGACCGGGAUGCGGUGAUGAGAGCAGCGAGGAACAAAGGCAAGCUGACCUGGGGGAAUACUACUGUCAUGCUUUUCCCCGAUUACUCCAGGGCCACCCAGAUGAAGCAUGAGAAAUUCAAAGAUUGCAAGAAAAAACUGCACGACCGAGGGGUUGGUUUCAGGAUGCUGUUCCCAGCUAAGCUGAGAAUUGAGACCGGCAGCGGUGAGAAAGCUUUUGAGUGCCCACGGAAAGCCAUGGCCUUCAUAGAUGCUUUGCAGUGAGUAUUGAUGGAUGGAGGUGUUCAUAUUGGUAUCCUGCGCGCCCAAACGUCUGCUGAGGACACUGGUGUUGCCUUAUUUUCCUGUGCAGUAGCGGUGAGUGAGGGAUCACGACAAGUGGAGCCACGCGGACCUGACACGGACCGUCAGACCUCGGCUAGAGGGACUUUUGAGGGGGUUAGAAUGUGCAAAGUUCAGGUUUAAUUGCACUAAAUUUGUGUUAUUUAUUAUUAUUAUUAUUUUCUUUUCUUGGGGGAGGGGGCGGGGUACAGUCGCCACCACUGUAAGGAUAUUGCUUUUGAUAAACGGCCAUGUGUUAUCGAUGAUUAGGCAGACAUGUCUUCACAAUUAAAUUUAAUGCGUCUCUCCACUUGGAAUGUUAAUGGUUUGGGGAAUCCCGUCAAGAGAAAAAGGUGAUGGCCAUCCUUAAGGCCAAAAAAUAUGAUGUGGUGUUUCUUCAAGAAACUCACAUGUCAAAAGAAGAAUCUGAGAAGCUCUGUGUAGGAUGGGUUGGACAUGUUUUUUACAGUGUAGGCUCCAGCAAGAGUAAAGGGGUUAUAAUUUUAGUAAGUAAACAUCUACAAUUUAAGUGUCUCAAGCAAAUAAGAGAUAAUACAGGUAGGAUGAUUAUAGUACUGGCUGAAAUACAGUUGCAGAAACUAAUUUUGGCCAAUAUAUAUGCUCCUAAUCUGGAUGAUCAAUCUUUUUCUCUGAUCUUGAAGGGAAGUUACAAAUACUGGGGGCUCAGCCCGUUGUUCAUGGAGGAGACUUUAAUCUGUUAAUGGACCCAGUGCUUGAUCACAGUGGGGCAAUGUUGCGUAAAAUGCCAAAAGCCGCUUUGACACUACAAAGAAUUUGCAAAUCUUUAGGAUUGAUAGAUAUCUGGAGGCUCAUGAACCCGUCAGGCAGGGAUUAUACUUUUUACUCAUCAGUACAUAAGAUUUAUAGCCGAAUAGAUUUUUUCCUAAUAUCCAAAGAGCUCAGUCCCUGUGCAGUGAGAUGUGAAAUAGGGUCUAUUUUGAUCUCUGAUCAUGCUACUGUCAGUUUGGACUUGUUACCGCAAGAUGAGAGAAGAAGGUCUUAUAGAUGGCGUCUAAACUCGUCACUUUUACAGGACCCAGCAAAUACAGAAUGGUUGAGGACCGAACUUAAAAGUUAUUUAGAGAUCAACUGGCAGUCUGUAUCAUCAGCUGGCGUGGCAUGGGAGGCCCUAAAGGCAGUGGUUAGAGGACGUAUAAUCCAACACACAUCAUACAAUAAGAAAAAUAAAACACGGGAGCUGCUAGAAUUAGAAAAUAAAAUAAAACAGGUUGAAACAGAGCUGAAGCAACAAUUAACACAAAAUGGCAUGAAAAAAUUGACAAAACUAAAAUAUCAAUACAAUAACUUAAUAACCCAUAAGAUUGAAUUUAACUUAUUCAGGGCAAGACAAACCUAUUUCGAGUCAGGAGAUAAAGCAGGAAAGCUACUUGCCAGUUAUAUAAAACAGAGGGAGUUGGCUUCCACUAUUCCUGCUAUUAGAUUGCAGUCUGGAGACCUGCUUACUGCAACGGUAGACAUUAAUCAGGCUUUUAAGGAAUUUUAUAGUAAUUUAUAUAGUUCAAACUGUACCUCUGAUGAAGAAGAAAUUCAUAGCUUUAUAGAACAGUUAGGACUCCCAAAACUGACGGAUGAACAGAGGGAUUUUCUUGAUUCAGAUAUUACUAUUGAGGAAAUUAAAGGGGUAAUUAAGGCAUUGCCAACAGGCAAGGCACCGGGGCCGGAUGGCUUCACGGGGGAAUUCUUUAAGUGCUUUGCCUCGGAACUAGCUUCACCUUUACUGGAGGUAUAUAGGGAGGCGCUGGGGAGAGGGGUGUUGCCACCCACUUUGAGACAGGCCCUCAUUAGUCUAAUUCCUAAGAAAGGUAAAGAUUGGAAGGAAUGUAAGAACUAUCGUCCGAUAUCAUUAAUGCAAAUCGAUGUUAAGAUAAUUUCUAAAAUUUUAGCAAACCGUUUAGACAGCAUAAUUACAUCAUUGAUCCAUAGUGAUCAGGUAGGAUUCAUUCGUGGUCGUAGCUCCUCCGAUAAUAUAAGACGCCUCAUUGAUGUCAUGUGGUCGCUGGCUGACACCCAGUCCCCAGUUGCUGCAAUCUCGUUGGACGCCGAAAAAGCGUUCGACAUGGUAGAAUGGGGGUUUCUAUUUAAAAUCUUAGAAGAAUUUGGAUUUGGUAUUACAUUUAUAAAAUGGAUUCGUAUGUUAUAUAAACAUCCAGAAGCAGCAGUUCAGACUAAUGGGCUCAUAUCAGACUACUUUAUGUUGGGCAGAGGAACUAGACAGGGGUCACCCCUCUCUCCUUUGCUUUUUUGUUUAGCUAUUGAGCCACUAGCAGCAGCCAUACGUAAAGCAAAUGAUUUCCCAGGGGUCACCAUAGGCGGGAAGGUCCACAAGUUGAUGUUAUAUGAGGACGAUAUUUUAUUACUGGUUUCCGAACCCAGAAGAUCUGUGCCAUGCUUGCUUGGAAUCAUAAAUACCUUCUGAAAACUGUCCGGCUAUAUUUUUUAUUUUUAUUAUUUUUUUGGUCUAACUUGCUCUCAAAGGUUGGAAAAGAGUUCCUACAAAGGUUUUGGACAUUGAUUUUAACCCUAACGCCAAAAACCUUAAACAUUACCCUAGCCCAGAAACCUAAUAUUACCUUCAGGAAGCCCGAACACCCCAAAUAUAUAUUUUUUUUCUUUUUCUUUUUUUUUGGUGUAACUAACUCCAAAAGGUCUGAAACAUGUUCCUAAAAAGGUUUUGGACAGUGAUUUUAACCCUCACGCCAAAAACCUUAAACCUUAACCUAGCCCCAUAACCUAAUACCCGGGUAUUACCUUCAGGAAGCCCGAACACCCCAAAUAUUUUUUUUUUCUUUUUUCUUUUUUUUUGGUCUAACUAACUCCAAAAGGUCGGAAAAGAUUUCCUACAAAGGUUUUGGACGGUGAUUUUAACCCUAACACCAAAAACCUUAAACCUUACCCUAGCCCCAAAACCUAAUACCUGGGUAUUACCUUCAGGAAGCUUGAACACCCCAAAUAUUUUUUUUUUCAUUUUACAUUUUUUUUUGGUGUUACCAACUCCAAAAGGUCUGAAACAUGUUCCUAAAAAGGUUUUGGACAGUGAUUUUAACCCUGACGCCAAAAACCUUAAACCUUACCCUAGCCCCAUAACCUCAUACCCGGGUAUUUCCUUCAGGAAGCCCGAAGACCCCAAAUAUAUUUAGGGCCCGAGCGUAGCUGCUAAGCAGCUGCGAGAGCCCUAUUAUUCCCCAAGUGGUUUUUCUUUGUUUCUUUCUUUCUUUCUUUCUUUCUUUCUUUCUUUCUUCUUUUUCCUCCCCUUUGAACUGGAAAAUGGCCCACUUCCCACUGGCGAAAACUCAUGAAAUUUGGCAGGACGACCGGGCCUGGUGAAAAAUUCGAUAUUCUGAAGUCGCCCAAACAAUAAAAUGCAAAAUGGCUCCAUAGCGCCCCCUAAGGUGGAAAUUCACACUAUUGACUGUCACGCCUGUACGCUUUGUCAUAUUGACACAAAAAUUGACACACAUAUGUAUCUCAAUAAGAUCUACAAAAAAGUCAGUGCGGCCGUAUCUGUCAAAAUUACGGUUAAAGGGUUAUUUCGCAUUUUUUGCCGAUCCGCACACAUUGGAAUUUCGCUAACUCCUCCGAAGGCUUUCGUUCCACCGGCACCACAUUUGCUCAGGCCAAUCUACACCCCGUGGCCAUUAAAAGUUAUCAAAAUCAUGACGCUGCACCCCAAGGUUUAGGUUCUAGGGGGCGCCAAAGAUAACACUAAAAUCCACAUAUUUAAAAGUCUUAUAACUUUUUAUUUUUGUCCUCACUGGCCUCCAAGUUUUCUAGGAUGAUGCAAUGUCCAGCCAUCAACACAUUUGUGAAGGAAUUUUUACUCCCCAAAAGAGCGCCCCCCCAUGGCAGGAGAAAAAAGUCCAUUUUUUCUUGUCCCCUAAGGUGAAAAUACACAUUGUUGAGUGUCACACCUGUACGCUUUGUCAAAAUGACACAAAAUUUGACACACACGUGUAUCUCAAUUAGAUCUACAAAAAAGUCAGUGCGGGCGUAUCUGUCAAAUGUACGGUUAAAGGGCUAUUUUGCAUUUUUUGCCGAUCCGCACACAGUAGAAUUUCGCUAACUCCUCCGAAGGCUUUCGUUCCACCGGCACCACAUUUGCUCAGGCCAAUCUACACCCCAUGGCCAUUAAAAGUUGUUCAAAUCAUGACGCUGCACCCCAUUGUUUAGGUUCUAGGGGGCGCCAAAGAUAACCCAAAAAUCCACAUUCUUAAAAGUCUAAUAACUUUUUAUUUUUGCCCUCACUGGCCUCCAAGUUUUCUAGGAUGAUGCAAUGUCCAGCCAUCAACACAUUUGUGAAGGAAUUUUUACUCCCCAAAAGAGCGCCCCCCAUGGCAGGAGAAAGAAGUCCAUUUUUUCUUGUCCCCUAAGGUGAAAAUACAUAUUGUUGAGUGUCACGCCUAUACGCUUUGUCAUAUUGACACAAAAUUUGACACACACGUGUAUCUCAAUAAGAUCUACAAAAAUUCUAUGCGCACGUAUCUGUCAAAUGUACGGUUAAAGGGCUAUUUCGCAUUUUUUGCCGAUCCGCACACAUUGGAAUUUCGCUAACUCCUCCGAAGGCUUUCGUUCCACCGGCACCACAUUUGCUCAGGCCAAUCUACACCCCAUGGCCAUUAAAAGUUGUACAAAUCAUGACGCUGCACCACACGGUUUACAUUCUAGGGGGCGCCAAAGAUAACCCAAAAAUCCACAUUCUUAAAAGUCUUAUAACUUUUCAUUUUUGUCCUCACUGGCUUCCAAGUUUUCUAGGAUGAUGCAUUGUCUAGCCAUCAACACAUUUGUGAAGGAAUUUUUACUCCCCAAAAGAGCGCCCCCCCAUGGCAGGAGAAAAAGUCAAGUUUUUCCUGCCCAUCGCUCAAUGGCUCAAACACAUGUCAUGUGUUCAAACUCCUCCGAAAGGAGGAGCAACUUGCCAUUUGGAUAUAUCCUAGCUGUGUUUGUGCCCUCACUCAUGAUCCAGACUUUUUUCAAAUAGGACAUGUAGUUUGUCUGCAGCGAGCGUUUUGGCAGAAACUGCGCCUCCCAUUCAUUAUAAUGGUAAAUGACCACAGACAAGUGCGAACACCAUCUUUGGACCUUGAGUGUGAUGCGAUCGGGAGGGAGAGGCGGUCGUGUUGGGGGCGGCGCGACACAGCUCGGGCCCGCCAGUGCCCCAACGGGGCCCUAGUUUUUUCUUUUUCUUUUUUUUUGGUCUAACUAACUCCAAAAGGUCGGAAAAGAGUUCCUACAAAGGUUUUGGACGGUGAUUUUAACCCUAACACCAAAAACCUUAAACCUUACCCUAGCCCCAAAACCUAAUACCCGGGUAUUACCUUCAGGAAGCCCGAACACCCCAAAUAUUUUUUUUCAUUUUACAUUUUUUUUGGUGUAACCAACUCCAAAAGGUCUUAAACAUGUUCCUAAAAAGGUUUUGGACACUGAUUUUAACUCUAACGCCAAAAACCUUAAACCUUACCCUAGCCCCUUAACCUAAUACCCGGGUAUUACCUUCAGGAAGCCCGAACACCCCAAAUUUUUUUUUCUUUUUCUUUUUUUUUUUUGUCUAACUAACUCCCAAAGGUCUGAAACAUGUUCCUUAAAAAAUAUUGGACAGUGAUUUUAACCCUAACGCCAAAAACCUUAAACCUAACCCUAGCCCCAAAACCUAAUACCCGGGUAUUACCUUCAGGAAGCCCGAAAACCCCAAUUUUUUUUUUUCAUUUUCUGUUUUUUUUUUGGUCUAACUAACUCCAAAACGUUGGAAAAUAGUUCCUACAAAGGUUUUGGACAGUGAUUUUAACCCUAACGCCAAAAACCUUAAACCUUACUAUAGCCCCAUAACCUAAUACCUGGGUAUUUCCUUCAGGAAGCCCGAAGACCCCAAAUAUUUUUUUUUUCAUUUUACAUUUUUUUUGGUGUAACCAACUCCAAAAGGUUUGAAACAUGUUCCUAAAAAGGUUUUGGACAGUGAUUUUAACCCUAACGCCAAAAACCUUAAACCUUACCCUAGCCCCAUAACCUAAUACCUGGGUAUUUCCUUCAGGAAGCCCGAAGACCCCAAAUAUAUUUUUUUUUCUUUUGUUUUUUUUGGUCUAACUAACUCCAAAAGGUUGGAGAGAGUUCCUACAAAGGUUUUGGACAGUGAUUUUAACCCUAACACCAAAAACCUUAAACCUUACCCUAGCCCCAAAACCUAAUACCCAGGUAUUACCUUCAGGAAGCCCGAACACCCCAAAUAUUUUUUUUUUUUAAUUUUACUUUUUUUUUUGGUGUAACCAACUCCCAAAGGUCUUAAACAUGUUCCUUAAAAAAUAUUGGACAGUUAUUUUGACCCUAACGCCAAAAACCUUAAACCUAACCCUAGCCCCAAAACCUAA